Molecule: unclassified non-coding RNA, 1328 nt
Filed under: Hevea brasiliensis (rubber tree)
Lineage: Eukaryota; Viridiplantae; Streptophyta; Magnoliopsida; Malpighiales; Euphorbiaceae
Source: RNAcentral
CUGAUUUUCAAUUCUUGAAGAGAAACACUACAGGAAAAGUUCAUUAUUUUGAAACCAAACAUCUCAUGGAGAAUUGUAGCAUCACAAGAAUGGAGGGAAUAUCACAAUCUUUUCUAGAAAGGAAAGAGAACAAAAGUCCAGCCGUAGUCAAAUCAAAUCAAUUCUGCAACUUUCAAAGGACAGUUUACUGCUUUAAUUAUAUUAGCUGCUAAAACGUAUUCACCGUUCAAUACAAGCAGGCAAAAGUAGGAAAAAUAUCAGUUUUAUCCAUCGUUGAUCUAAGCCAUCGAAGCCAACCAGUAAAGGGAGACUUUGGAAAUACACAGCAACCUAUAAAGAUAUGAAACAGAUAUAGGACAAAUAUGAGAUCAAAUCAGCAAAUCAAAUAAUAUAAUCUGACCACUCUGAGAUAAAAGAAGUAUGAUCCAUAGAUUCUCCGGGACAUUCCUCAUGCUUCGCUGGUGUUCCUUUUCCUCCCACCAACCUUGCAGGAUUUCCUACUGCUGUGGUCCGAGGGGGCACAUCAAUAAGUACUACAGAGCCUGCUCCAAUCUUUGCACCAGCCCCAAUCUUCACAUUUCCUAGAAUUGUUGCGCCAGCACCGAUCAAUACUCCAUCUCCAAUCUUGGGAUGUCGAUCCCCACAUGCCUUCCCUGUUCCUCCAAGUGUAACAUGGUGCAAAAUGGAAACAUUGUUCCCAACCACUGCCGUCUCACCAAUCACUACACCAGUUGCGUGAUCGAACAAUAUCCCCUUCCCAAUCUUUGCCGCUGGAUGUAUAUCAACAGCAAAAACAUCAGAGACUCGAGAGUGUAAAGCUAGUGCCAGUGGCCUACGGGACUGAGUCCACAACUUGUGAGAAACUCUAUGAGCCUGGCAAGCCAAGAACCCUUUGUAAUUGAGAAGACAAUGCGAGAAUGAUAUGCAAGCAGGAUCACGGACGCGGUAGGCGCGAAGAUCAGCGACGGCAGCGGCGAUGAGAGAAGGGUCGGAGGAGAAAGUGUCGAGGAAGAGAUCGUAAAGGAGGGUGGAAAGAAGGGUUGAGGAACAAAGCUUGUUGCCUAAAUGGAAGGAAAGAGAUCGCUCCAGCGAGGAGUGAGAGAGGAUAGUGGAGUAGAGGUAGCUAGCCAACGCCGGCUCUGACUCCGCGUCGCGGCGGGCCUCGGAUUUGAUCUGGGUCCACACCCAGGCCUCAUCGUUGUCGGUGAUGCAGGAAUCAUUCACCGUUGUUCGUGGCGGGGAUGGGCAGCGUAGCUCGCCGGCAGGCAUCGGUUUCUUCAGCUGGUGAAUAGAGUAAGAGAUUGGCACAGGCGAACGAAAGAACCGAC